Molecule: non-coding RNA, 30 nt
Filed under: Mus musculus (house mouse)
Lineage: Eukaryota; Metazoa; Chordata; Mammalia; Rodentia; Muridae
Source: RNAcentral
UGCAAUCCUUGACUUUCAGGAAUUGUGCAU